GUCACAGGGAACAGAAACCGGAGCCACAGAGGACAGGGUAGAGUCGCAGAAAGGAGAGACACACAUACAUGGAAAGAGGAGCUUUCUCCAAUCUUAAUGAUUCCCAGCUCUCAGCCUCGUUUCUGUCCUUAUCGUGCAGCACGAGGCGUCUCCUGCUCUUGGCAAAUCAGUCUCUGGCUUGCCUUUAGGAAAAUCACCUUCUCCAGACACAAAUGUGGCUUUCUGCAGCCCAGCUCCAAAACCGCCCCUGCCCUUUGGAUCACCCCGCCUCAGCUGCCAGCGCCCCUUGGAAGUCUGACCAUCUCAUCCUGGCAUUCAAGGACCCACGUGAUUCAGUCUCACUGCCUCUCAGAGUUAUGUCUCUUUUUGGCUACAGGCAACCCAGCCUGCAAGCAAACUGUCCUGCUUUGGACCCUGCUGUGUCACUCUCCGCACCAGCCUUUGCCUCUGCUCUUCGCUCUAUGAAGUCCUCCCAGGCUGCACGGAAGGACGACUUUCUCAGGUCUCUUAGGGAUGGAGACUCAGGGACAUCAGAACACAUCUCAGCGGUGGUGACUAGUCCUCGGAUUUCCUGCCAUGGUGCUGCCAUUCCCACCGCCCGUGCCCUCUGCCUAGGCUGUUCCUGCUGCACCGAACGCCUCCUCCUGCCACCGCCCUCCCUCCUUUCUUUAGAAGCCCCUGCCAGCACCUGAGCUCUCUGCUGAUUGCUGUUCCUCCCAGUCUGUGGAAGCUUUGCCCAUAUGCUUUCCUUAAAAGGGUUCUGGGCAGGGCAGGCGCCCCCAUUUCUCAGGGAUCCCCUCCAGGACAACGCCUUUUCCUUGUGUCUUCAGCUCUCCUUACCAGAUAUCUAUAUAUUUGUAUAUAUUCAGUUUCACCAACAACGCAUCAAGUACUUUUUUUUUUUUAAGUAAAGAACCGAAGUCAUUGAACUGGAGUCCCAUUGAUUCCCUCCCCCUCGCCUCCCCAAAUCUGGCACCUGCCCAAGGUAUCCUCAGAACCAUUUGGGGUGUCCUUU
RNAcentral lists this long non-coding RNA (1015 nucleotides) under Homo sapiens (human). RNAcentral describes it as "non-protein coding lnc-WAPL-1:1". The record is from RNAcentral. Lineage: Eukaryota; Metazoa; Chordata; Mammalia; Primates; Hominidae.